Molecule: ribosomal RNA, 274 nt
Filed under: uncultured bacterium
Lineage: Bacteria
Description: partial 16S ribosomal RNA
Rfam family: Bacterial small subunit ribosomal RNA
Source: RNAcentral
AUACGGAGGGUGCAAGCGUUAUCCGGAAUUACUGGGCGUAAAGCGCGCGUAGGCGGACCAUCAAGUUGGGCGUGAAAGCCCUGGGCUCAACCCAGGAAUUGCGCUCGAAACUGGUGGACUAGAGUCCGGGAGUGGAUAGUGGAAUUCCCAGUGUAGAGGUGAAAUUCGUAGAUAUUGGGAAGAACACCAGUGGCGAAGGCGGCUCACUGGCCCGGUACUGACGCUGAGGUGCGAAAGCGUGGGGAGCAAACAGGAUUAGAUACCCGUGUAGUCC